CCCUUAGAUGUUCUGGGCUGCACGCGCGCUACACUGAUGCAUCCAACAAGUUUUUUCCUUGUUCGAGAGGACUAGGUAAUCUUAUGAGAAUGCAUCGUGAUGGGGAUAGAUUAUUGCAAUUAUUAAUCUUCAACGAGGAAUUCCUAGUAAGCGCGAGUCAUCAGCUCGCGUUGAUUACGUCCCUGCCCUUUGUACACACCGCCCGUCGCUACUACUGAUUGGAUGUUUAAGCGAGGUUCUCGAACUGCUAGCGACUUAGCUUCGGUGAGGUCGCAGUGUGGGAAGUGAACCUAGCUUUGGUGUCUAGAGGAAGUAAAAGUCGUAACA
This 327-nucleotide ribosomal RNA is filed under the name uncultured eukaryote. RNAcentral describes it as "partial 18S ribosomal RNA". It matches the Rfam family "Eukaryotic small subunit ribosomal RNA", at positions 1470 to 1796 of the family's 1831-position model. The record is from RNAcentral.